AGUAACGGCGAGUGAAGCGGCAACAGCUCAAAUUUGAAAUCUGGCUUCGGCCCGAGUUGUAAUUUGCAGAGGAAGCUUUAGGCGCGGCACCUUCUGAGUCCCCUGGAACGGGGCGCCAUAGAGGGUGAGAGCCCCGUAUAGUUGGAUGCCUAGCCUGUGUAAAGCUCCUUCGACGAGUCGAGUAGUUUGGGAAUGCUGCUCAAAAUGGGAGGUAAAUUUCUUCUAAAGCUAAAUACCGGCCAGAGACCGAUAGCGCACAAGUAGAGUGAUCGAAAGAUGAAAAGCACUUUGAAAAGAGGGUUAAAUAGCACGUGAAAUUGUUGAAAGGGAAGCGCUUGUGACCAGACUUGCGCCGGGCGGAUCAUCCGGUGUUCUCACCGGUGCACUCCGCCCGGCUCAGGCCAGCAUCGGUUCUCGCGGGGGGAUAAAGGUCCUGGGAACGUAGCUCCUCCGGGAGUGUUAUAGCCCGGGGCGUAAUGCCCUCGCGGGGACCGAGGUUCGCGCAUCUGCAAGGAUGCUGGCGUAAUGGUCAUCAGCGACCCGUCUUGAAACACGGACCAAGGAGUCAAGGUUUUGCGCGAGUGUUUGGGUGUGAAACCCGCACGCGUAAUGAAAGUGAACGUAGGUGAGAGCUUCGGCGCAUCAUCGACCGAUCCUGAUGUUUUCGGAUGGAUUUGAGUAGGAGCGUUAAGCCUUGGACCCGAAAGAUGGUGAACUAUGCUUGGAUAGGGUGAAGCCAGAGGAAACUCUGGUGGAGGCUCGCAGCGGUUCUGACGUGCAAAUCGAUCGUCAAAUCUGAGCA
RNAcentral lists this ribosomal RNA (802 nucleotides) under Chaetomium globosum. Its description in RNAcentral is "partial large subunit ribosomal RNA". It matches the Rfam family "Eukaryotic large subunit ribosomal RNA", at positions 82 to 917 of the family's 3401-position model. Lineage: Eukaryota; Fungi; Ascomycota; Sordariomycetes; Sordariales; Chaetomiaceae. The record is from RNAcentral.